Molecule: ribosomal RNA, 347 nt
Filed under: Escherichia coli
Lineage: Bacteria; Pseudomonadati; Pseudomonadota; Gammaproteobacteria; Enterobacterales; Enterobacteriaceae
Description: bacterial SSU rRNA
Rfam family: Bacterial small subunit ribosomal RNA
Source: RNAcentral
GGGGGACCUUCGGGCCUCUUGCCAUCGGAUGUGCCCAGAUGGGAUUAGCUAGUAGGUGGGGUAACGGCUCACCUAGGCGACGAUCCCUAGCUGGUCUGAGAGGAUGACCAGCCACACUGGAACUGAGACACGGUCCAGACUCCUACGGGAGGCAGCAGUGGGGAAUAUUGCACAAUGGGCGCAAGCCUGAUGCAGCCAUGCCGCGUGUAUGAAGAAGGCCUUCGGGUUGUAAAGUACUUUCAGCGGGGAGGAAGGGAGUAAAGUUAAUACCUUUGCUCAUUGACGUUACCCGCAGAAGAAGCACCGGCUAACUCCGUGCCAGCAGCCGCGGUAAUACGGAGGGUGCA